AGUGAACGCUGGCGGUAGGCCUAACACAUGCAAGUCGAACGGCAGCACAGUAAGAGCUUGCUCUUACGGGUGGCGAGUGGCGGACGGAUGAGGAAUACAUCGGAAUCUACUUUUUCGUGGGGGUUAACGUAGGGAAACUUACGCUAAUACCGCAUACGACCUACGGGUGUAAGCAUGGGAUCUUCGGACCUUGCGCGGUUGAAUGAGCCGAUGUGGGAUUAGCUAGUUGGCGGGGUAAAGACCCACCAAGGCGACGAUCCGUAGCUGGUCUGGGAGGAUGGUCAGCCACCCUGGAACGUGGACACCGUCCAGGCGCCUACGGGAGGCCGCAGUGGGGAAUGGUGGACAAUGGGGGCAAGUCUGAUCCAGCCAGACCGCGUGGGUGAAGAAGGCGUUCGGGUUGUAAAGCCCUUUUGUUGGGAAAGAACAGCAGCCGGUUAAUACCCCGCUGUUCUGACGGUACCCAAAGAAUAAGCACCGGCUAACUUCGUG
Molecule: ribosomal RNA, 492 nt
Filed under: uncultured bacterium
Lineage: Bacteria
Description: partial 16S ribosomal RNA
Rfam family: Bacterial small subunit ribosomal RNA
Source: RNAcentral